RNAcentral lists this ribosomal RNA (429 nucleotides) under Gemmatimonadota bacterium. Its description in RNAcentral is "Gemmatimonadetes bacterium partial 16S ribosomal RNA". It matches the Rfam family "Bacterial small subunit ribosomal RNA", at positions 355 to 776 of the family's 1533-position model. Lineage: Bacteria; Pseudomonadati; Gemmatimonadota. The record is from RNAcentral.
UAGGGAAUCUUCGGCAAUGGACGAAAGUCUGACCGAGCAACGCCGCGCGGGUGAAGAAGGGUUUCGGAUCGUAAAACUCUGUUGUUAGAGAAGAACAAGGACGUUAGUAACUGAACGUCCCCUGACGGUAUCUAACCAGAAAGCCACGGCUAACUACGUGCCAGCAGCCGCGGUAAUACGUAGGUGGCAAGCGUUGUCCGGAUUUAUUGGGCGUAAAGCGAGCGCAGGCGGUUUCUUAAGUCUGAUGUGAAAGCCCCCGGCUCAACCGGGGAGGGUCAUUGGAAACUGGGGGACUGGAGUGCAGAAGAGGGGAGUGGAAUUCCAUGUGUAGCGGUGAAAUGCGUAGAUAUAUGAAGGAACACCAGUGGCGAGGGCGGCUCUCUGGUCUGUAACUGACGCUGAGGCUCGAAAGCGUGGGGAGCAAACAGG